RNAcentral lists this ribosomal RNA (757 nucleotides) under Escherichia coli. RNAcentral describes it as "partial 23S ribosomal RNA". It matches the Rfam family "Bacterial large subunit ribosomal RNA", at positions 473 to 1230 of the family's 2925-position model. Lineage: Bacteria; Pseudomonadati; Pseudomonadota; Gammaproteobacteria; Enterobacterales; Enterobacteriaceae. The record is from RNAcentral.
CUCCUGACUGACCGAUAGUGAACCAGUACCGUGAGGGAAAGGCGAAAAGAACCCCGGCGAGGGGAGUGAAAAAGAACCUGAAACCGUGUACGUACAAGCAGUGGGAGCACGCUUAGGCGUGUGACUGCGUACCUUUUGUAUAAUGGGUCAGCGACUUAUAUUCUGUAGCAAGGUUAACCGAAUAGGGGAGCCGAAGGGAAACCGAGUCUUAACUGGGCGUUAAGUUGCAGGGUAUAGACCCGAAACCCGGUGAUCUAGCCAUGGGCAGGUUGAAGGUUGGGUAACACUAACUGGAGGACCGAACCGACUAAUGUUGAAAAAUUAGCGGAUGACUUGUGGCUGGGGGUGAAAGGCCAAUCAAACCGGGAGAUAGCUGGUUCUCCCCGAAAGCUAUUUAGGUAGCGCCUCGUGAAUUCAUCUCCGGGGGUAGAGCACUGUUUCGGCAAGGGGGUCAUCCCGACUUACCAACCCGAUGCAAACUGCGAAUACCGGAGAAUGUUAUCACGGGAGACACACGGCGGGUGCUAACGUCCGUCGUGAAGAGGGAAACAACCCAGACCGCCAGCUAAGGUCCCAAAGUCAUGGUUAAGUGGGAAACGAUGUGGGAAGGCCCAGACAGCCAGGAUGUUGGCUUAGAAGCAGCCAUCAUUUAAAGAAAGCGUAAUAGCUCACUGGUCGAGUCGGCCUGCGCGGAAGAUGUAACGGGGCUAAACCAUGCACCGAAGCUGCGGCAGCGACGCUUAUGCGUUGUUGGGUA